This 253-nucleotide ribosomal RNA is filed under the name uncultured bacterium. Its description in RNAcentral is "partial 16S ribosomal RNA". It matches the Rfam family "Bacterial small subunit ribosomal RNA", at positions 524 to 776 of the family's 1533-position model. The record is from RNAcentral.
UACGGAGGGUGCUAGCGUUGUUCGGAAUUACUGGGCGUAAAGGGCGCGUAGGCGGCCGUUUGCGUCGGAUGUGAAAGCCCGGGGCUCAACCUCGGAACGGCAUUCGAUACGGGACGGCUGGAGACCGGGAGAGGAGAGUGGAAUAGCCAGUGUAGAGGUGAAAUUCGUAGAUAUUGGCUGGAACACCGGUGGCGAAAGCGGCUCUCUGGGCCGAUACUGACGCUGAGGAGCGAAAGCGUGGGGAGCGAACAGG